Molecule: ribosomal RNA, 497 nt
Filed under: uncultured bacterium
Lineage: Bacteria
Description: partial 16S ribosomal RNA
Rfam family: Bacterial small subunit ribosomal RNA
Source: RNAcentral
GAUGAACGCUGGCGGCGUGCCUAAUACAUGCAAGUCGAGCGACCAGACGAGGAGCUUGCUCCUCUGACGUUAGCGGCGGACGGGUGAGUAACACGUGGAUAACCUACCUAUAAGACUGGGAUAACUUCGGGAAACCGGAGCUAAUACUGGAUAAUAUAUUGAACCGCAUGGUUCAAUAGUGAAAGACGGUUUUGCUGUCACUUAUAGAUGGAUCCGCGCCGCAUUAGCUAGUUGGUAAGGUAACGGCUUACCAAGGCGACGAUGCGUAGCCGACCUGAGAGGGUGAUCGUCCGCACUAGUACUGAGACACGGUCCAGACUCCUACGGGAGGCAGCAGUAGGGAAUCUUCCGCAAUGGGCGAAAGCCUGACGGAGCAACGCCGCGUGGUUGAUGAAGGUCUUCGGAUCGUAAAACUCUGUUAUUAUGGAAGAACAAAUGUGUAAGUAACUAUGCACGUCUUGACGGUACCUAAUCAGAAAGCCACGGCUAACUACGUG